CCUACGGGUGGCAGCAGUGGGGAAUAUUGGACAAUGGGGGGAACCCUGAUCCAGCCAUGCCGCGUGUGUGAAGAAGGCCCUCGGGUUGUAAAGCACUUUCAGUGAGGAAGAACGCCUGGUGGUUAAUACCCAUCAGGAAAGACAUCACUCACAGAAGAAGCACCGGCUAACUCCGUGCCGGCAGCCGCGGUAAUACGGAGGGUGCGAGCGUUAAUCGGAAUUACUGGGCGUAAAGCGCGCGUAGGUGGCUUGAUAAGCCGGUUGUGAAAGCCCCGGGCUCAACCUGGGAACGGCAUCCGGAACUGUCAAGCUAGAGUGCAGGAGAGGAAGGUAGAAUUCCCGGUGUAGCGGUGAAAUGCGUAGAGAUCGGGAGGAAUACCAGUGGCGAAGGCGGCCUUCUGGACUGACACUGACACUGAGGUGCGAAAGCGUGGGUAGCAAACAGGAUUAGAUACCCUAGUAGUC
This 465-nucleotide ribosomal RNA is filed under the name Vreelandella stevensii. RNAcentral's name for it is "partial 16S ribosomal RNA". It matches the Rfam family "Bacterial small subunit ribosomal RNA", at positions 338 to 795 of the family's 1533-position model. The record is from RNAcentral. Lineage: Bacteria; Pseudomonadati; Pseudomonadota; Gammaproteobacteria; Oceanospirillales; Halomonadaceae.